Long non-coding RNA from Salvia miltiorrhiza (redroot sage), 2546 nucleotides. RefSeq lists it as uncharacterized. The transcript has 3 exons. Lineage: Eukaryota; Viridiplantae; Streptophyta; Magnoliopsida; Lamiales; Lamiaceae. The record is from RefSeq and is a predicted model, not a curated record.
UCUACUUUCCUAAAAUUCAAAAAAAUACAGAAAAAGGCCAAAUUGGCCUUGCUACUUUAUAUCGUUCAAUGUAUAGAAAAAAGUCAUUAUCUUCCUUUUGUUUGUCAUGAUGAUAUUUUUCUCUACCCUCUCCCAUUUUUGGAGUACACAGAACACAGGAAAACUUUUGAAAAAUUAUUUAUGAUCAUGUGCAAGGAAACUUUUGAGAAGCUCAGCACUCUUUUCCAUAUGCAGAUGGUAAAGAACCUUGGCAAGAUUCAGUUUAGCUCCCGUUCAAAGAAAAAGACUAAUGUUACCAAGUCUUUCAAAAAAAAGAUCAAGGCAAAGUGCCCCUAAGUAAGGCAAUCUAUCCUUGGCUCACACUCCCUAAGCUCGCAGAGCUGUUGGAGUCGGAUGCCAGGAUACCGUGCCUUCAUCCUUCGUGCAAGAAGAACAACAAAUAAAAGCCUCAACUGUUCAACACCAAGGAUGAGUUGUACACCUACUGGUAGGCUAUGCAUAAAGAUGAUGUCCAGAGCGUAGAAUGCACAUGUCAAAAAUGUGAUACCACCAAGUCAAAGCAACAACUGCCCAAUAUCUAAUUAAAGCAAAUAGGUAUCUUAAAAUCCACCAAGUCAAAGCAACAACUGUCCAAUAUCUAACCAAAGCAAACAGACUUAUUCCAGGUGUCCCGCGCUACCAUACAAGCAGAAGGACCGCAUGGUAGCGCGGAUGAAGUUAGAGAAAAUAUGGGCAAAGAACUACAAAGGUAAAUAAGAAGACCUGAUGGUGGAUUUCAAGAUACCUGUUUGCUUUGGUUAGAUAUUGGGUAGUUGUUGCUUUGCUUCUUUUUCUAUACAUUGAACGAUAGAAACUAGUAAGGCCAAUUUGGGCUAUUUGAGUUUCAAGUUGUACCCUAGCUGUUAGAUUCAAAAUUUUUGCAAUAUUUUUUGAAAAUUUGAUGGAUCAUACAUUAAUUUAUACAUGUGAAGUCUAAAAUAUCAUGACAAACAAAAGGAAUGUAAUGGCCUUUUUCUAUACAUUGAACGAUAGAAAGAAGUAUAGCCAAUUUGGGUUAUCCGAGUUUCAUGUUGUACCCUAGCUGUUAGAUUCAAAUUUUUUGCAAUAUUUUUUAGAAAUUUGAUGGAUCAUACAUUACUUUAUACAUGUGAUGUCUAUAAUAUAAUGACAAACAAAAGGAAGGUAAUGGCCCUUUUCUAUACAUUGAAUGAUAGAAAGUAGUAAGGCCAAUUUGGCCUUUUUUGUUUAUUUUCUUGAUUUCUUUAGGAAAAUAGAUUUUAUUUUUGAUGUGUUUGAAUUAAUAUUUACGGUAAUCGUACAAGAUAGGUUGGAAGCUGUAAAAACAAAAAAAUCCAUCAAGGACAAAUUUUAUUGAUCCACAAUUAUUUUAUCCUAUAUUGGGGUAAGUUUAUUUUCUUUUUGUUUGUUAUGUAACCACUUUUAAAUUUAAAAUGCAGAAGUAUAAAAAAAAAAAAUAAGAUAUUUAGUAAAAUAGUCUUUCUCAUCUAGUGAAAAUAUAACUUUGCCCUUAUAAAAAAAAAAAAAACAACAUUUAGAGCCUGUUUGGUUGAGCUUAUAAGCUUCUAUAAAGUGUUUGGCAAAAUAAGUUCCAAAAAUAAGCUCCUCAAAAUUGAAUUUGUUAAAUCCAAACAUAUAUUUAUGAGGCUUAUCUACCUCUAUAAAAUUGGCAAUAUGUGUGGCAACCUGAGUGACAAUAUCUUUGUCUCUGUCUACACUGGCGAAGUUAGGAUUCUGCUUAGUGAUGUGAUUGACUUAGUGGAUGUGAUGACCUUCAUGAUUGCAUUGGCACACAAGAAAGGUGCACAUGAUAUUAACAAACUCUCGGUGGUGCUCCUCGCCGAACUUGUCAAUUUCUUCGAUUUUGUUAGACAAAAUAAUAUGUGAGCAUUAUUUAUUUAUUUUUGUGUUAUGCUUUCUCGUUCAAAAUUACUUUAUUUUAUUUGUUUUGUUCUUGUUCUAUGUUCAUAUGUCCGUCUUGAUUGAUCAUCCAUAUUUCUGAAACAUCGAAGAAAGUGUGAUAUUCGCGUACAGAUGACACAGAGUGGUCAAAAGGGAUCGAUGGAAAUGUGAAAUUGAGGAAAAUGCAUCUACAACGCUCAAAGGAUAUGUUGAUUGGUGAAAAGUUUUACUGGAUGCUAUGAAGAAAUAUAUGCUUGGGUAACCCAGCCCCAAAUGCAAAAGGAACAACUCAAAUAAACAAUCAUACAGACGUCCGAUAGAUAUUAUUCGAUUUUACCAUGCUGCAUAUACUCAUGUAAAUGACAAAGAGUAUGGAGGCCAUAAGUGGUCGUUUGGAGAUGCAAAAAUCGAAGAAGAUCUAACCAAGUUCUUUCCAUAUUAUUACACUGACAUGUUUCUAGCCUUUUGUUAUUGUGUACAUAGCAGGUAUAUGUAUAGUAUCAUGUAGUAAGGAUGACUUUGUUUGUUUUUACGGCUUCGAACCUAUCUUGCACGAUUACCUUAAAUAUAAUUCAAACACAUAAAAAAUAAAAUCUACUUUUCUAAAGAAAUCAAGAAAAUACAAA